This 655-nucleotide ribosomal RNA is filed under the name uncultured fungus. RNAcentral describes it as "eukaryotic LSU rRNA". It matches the Rfam family "Eukaryotic large subunit ribosomal RNA", at positions 24 to 664 of the family's 3401-position model. Lineage: Eukaryota; Fungi. The record is from RNAcentral.
CCCGCUGAACUUAAGCAUAUCAAUAAGCGGAGGAAAAGAAACUAACAAGGAUUCCCCUAGUAACUGCGAGUGAAGCGGGAAAAGCUCAAAUUUAAAAUCUGGCGGUCUCUGACUGUCCGAGUUGUAAACUAGAGAAGUGUUAUCCGUGCUGGACCAUGUAUAAGUCUCCUGGAACGGAGCGUCAUAGAGGGUGAGAAUCCCGUCUUUGACAUGGACUACCAGUGCAUUGUGAUAUGCUCUCAAAGAGUCGAGUUGUUUGGGAAUGCAGCUCAAAAUGGGUGGUAAAUUCCAUCUAAAGCUAAAUAUUGGCGAGAGACCGAUAGCGAACAAGUACCGUGAGGGAAAGAUGAAAAGAACUUUGGAAAGAGAGUUAAACAGUACGUGAAAUUGUUGAAAGGGAAACGCUUGAAGUCAGUCACAUUGGCUGGAGAUCAACCUUGCUUUUGGAAGGUGUACUCUCUGGUUGAUGGGUCAGCAUCAAUUUUGACCAUUGGAAAAAGGUUAGGGGAAUGUGGCAUCCUUGGAUGUGUUAUAGCCCUUGAUUGUAUACAGUGGUUGGGAUUGAGGAACUCAGCACGCCGCAAGGCCGGGUUUUACCACGUUCGUGCUUAGGAUGCUGGCAUAAUGGCUUUAAUCGACCCGUCUUGAAACACGG